GGGAAAGGCGCGAGGCACUCUGGGAAGGCAACCUAGGAAGGGUGGGGCCCUGGGGCCUUUUGAGGAGCUAAGUGGCCAAGGAGAGGUGCGUUUAGUUAUCUCAGAAGUCCGUUGCCCUCGUGGUGUCCAUUCUGUAACUGUUCUCACAAGACAAGACAGCCUGAGUUGUUUACAGCCAGCAACUCUUCCUGUCUGAGAGCGGUGUCUCCCGUUGGGUUUCCCUAGUGCCUCACCUUGGUCCAGAUGGCCGAAGGGGACCGUUUCCUGUGGCCUCUUCGCACUGUUCUAGGUGUUAACGAUCCCCCCCGCCCCGCCCCUACUGACUUCCUCAUCCUAGCCUUUUACUUCUUUUCUGCCUGGCCUCUGAUUUUACAAUAUACUAUGGGGAGAAAUGUCUCUGAAGUUUUACUUCAGCCUGAAAUGUAUAAGACAAGCCCUCAAGAGUUUCCAAAAUCAUAAAUACGUUGCUUUGUGAGUCUCUUGUUGGAAGGACUGUCUUUAAAUUAAAGCAAUUAGAGUUACUUUAUAAGAUUUACCCAAAUAUAAGAGCUGAAGAGAAUAAUUCAAAUUGAUCAGAAGAAAAUACUCAAUUACUGACAAAUGUCAAUUACAUCAAUAGCCUAGGCUGCUCUUGAACUCCUGGGCUCAAACGAUCCUCCCCUGUCGGCCUCCCAAAGUGCUGGGAUUACAAGCUUGAACCACCAUGCCCAGCCUCAGAAAUUUUUUAAAUGACAGCUCAUACAGUUUUCUUUUAUAAAGGAGGAGAAAAUGUGUAAUUGUAAGCAGCUGAACUAAAAUAUCUCUGUGACAUUUUGCUGGUGACUCCAGCCCUGUGAGAUCUGAGUGGCUCAGGAAUCAAAUUCUCCCACAAACCUGAGGAAGCCUUUUAUUCUUAAUGCCAACAGGAUGCCCCAUGCCCAGAAUGUCAAAUCUGAACACCAAUGGAAUGCAUUUUAUAAACAAAUUGAAAAAGGACAAUCUUUAACAGAAUUGUUGUUCUCUAGGCAGAUUAGUUGUGCUUCAAAUACAAAAUGAAAUAUUAGAGAACAAAAUUAUUUUUAAACAGCUAAUACUAGUAGAAAAUAAAAGGCUGAAAAGUGCUAUAAUGUGUAAAAGGACUAAAAUUUACUUUUAUUAC
RNAcentral lists this long non-coding RNA (1138 nucleotides) under Homo sapiens (human). RNAcentral describes it as "long intergenic non-protein coding RNA 2436". The record is from RNAcentral. Lineage: Eukaryota; Metazoa; Chordata; Mammalia; Primates; Hominidae.